Molecule: unclassified non-coding RNA, 873 nt
Filed under: uncultured Synechococcus sp.
Lineage: Bacteria; Bacillati; Cyanobacteriota; Cyanophyceae; Synechococcales; Synechococcaceae
Description: partial may contain 16S ribosomal RNA, 16S-23S ribosomal RNA intergenic spacer, and 23S ribosomal RNA
Rfam family: tRNA (bases 342-414)
Source: RNAcentral
AGGUGGGGCUGAUGACUGGGGUGAAGUCGUAACAAGGUAUCCGUACCGGAAGGUGCGGAUGGAUCACCUCCUAACAGGGAGACAACACAAUGAUUUUGAUGCCUGAGUAUUUUUAUUCUUAGGCCGAAAUCCUGUCACCUUAGGUCGAUCGGUACCUCAGCUUUGAAGUUAAGAAUCAGCAGCAAUGUUGAUUGCUUGAUGGAGAUUUUCAGUUCCUAAACUUUGUCUAGGUCACACCCCAAAAGGGAUGAGACUCCUGGGCCAUUAGCUCAGGUGGUUAGAGCGCACCCCUGAUAAGGGUGAGGUCCCUGGUUCAAGUCCAGGAUGGCCCAUUCGGUGUUGGGGGUUUAGCUCAGUUGGUAGAGCGCCUGCUUUGCAAGCAGGAUGUCAGGAGUUCGAGUCUCCUAACCUCCACUGACCGAACUUUAUCCCCCCUCCAUUCAAUGGAGUUGAGCUCGAUUGGUGUGUGAUUUAGAUGUGUCCGCUGGAUGACCCCAGCUUCCUGUCAUUCCAAGUUUUAAGUUCAAAGCUUUGAAUUUGGUUGAUAAGAUGCUGGGCUCGGAUCAAAUGAUCAAGUAAUUGAUGAUUUGAUUUGAAGUUCUAGCAGAACCUUGACAACUGCAUAGGUGAAGUCUGGAAAAACAAAGCAUCUUACAGAUGCAUUGUUUUGAGUCUAAUUUUCUGAAAGGAAGAUUAGACCCAGAACAAUGAAAAUUCUUUUGAGCAAGAGCCGAGACUCUUGAAUGUUCUUUGAUUCGUGUCGAGCGAAUCAGAGUUUGAUCUUGUUUUUAGCAAUAAAAACUUGAGAAUCUGCUUUCAACGGCGGUAAGCGUUCAAGAGGUUAAUUGGUCAAGCUACAAAGGGCUCACGGCG